Molecule: long non-coding RNA, 5520 nt
Filed under: Xyrichtys novacula (pearly razorfish)
Lineage: Eukaryota; Metazoa; Chordata; Actinopteri; Labriformes; Labridae
Source: RNAcentral
CCUCCUCUGACCUCCUGAUGACUCUGAGCCCCCCACAGAGGAACCAUUCCUACACUUACCUCCGCAGCUACGUUAAUGGAUCCUGUGUUGAUGCCGUCAUUGACUUAUAGACCCAUCAGCUGUCACCUGUGAGUCUCUGGUUCACUCCUCUGGAAACCUUUAUGUUGUUUGUUGAUUCCCCUUAGCUGUUGUUGUGUCCAGGCAAAGACCUUGACCUUUCAAAGAAAAAGUUUGACAUUUGGGGAAUUAGCUUAUUAGCUUUCUAGCUGAAAGUUAGGAGAGAAAAAUCAAUUUCACUCUAAGGUCAGUAUGUUGAAUACAGAACCACAGCUGGAUGGAUAUUAGUUUAGCUUAGUUUAAUACGUAUUAGGCUAUUCACAGGCUCUGAAUAGCUGCUGUGCAAUCAGUGGAAACUAUAGGAAAUAACUGUUUCCUGUAGAUACAGAUAGAUGCCUCCCCAUCUCUUUUAGAUAAACCGUAGUGAUGCCAAAAUACAUUCUUGGAUGGGCACUGUAAACCUAUGCCAGUAACAUAAGUUCAGGUUGGAGUCUGUUUAUUGGAAACUGGCUGGUAUCUCUUUCCCUCCGCAACACGUUUAAGUAACUGGCAACACAGCACAGGUCCCACAGACUGGCAGAUACAUGAAUUUAAUGCAGACACUCACCAUAAUGGGAAGCCAAAAGACUCUUGUGUAGGUGUUGGUUCCCUUUUUUUCUCCUGUAUACAUCCCGUGCACGGGAUACAACAAAAGUGGCAUUUGUUUAAAUACAUGUUAGGAGAUAAGAUAUCAGUCUCAUAUUAGUCUCACCGGGGGAAAUCCCAAAACUUACAGCAGCACAGGUACAAUACAAAAGAGAAAUUAAAGGGUAAAGAAACUUAUAUACGUGUACAGCAAUCAUGCUGUUGUAGCUUUUUUUUGUCAUAUAACUGUUUAAAAGUUAAAAAAAACACACACAAGAAGAACUAACCACAAUGCCAGAGAGCAUAUGAGAGGAAAUUUUAUUUUACAUGUAUUUGCUACUGUAGGGCCAGUGUCCAAUCUGUUAACGUGGAGGAGGUGUGCUUAACGACCUAUACUGAAACCAGCCAGCAGGGGGAGCUUUAAGUGUUUUUUCCUUUACUUUUGGUCAACAAACAAAAUAGACAUGUCAAUCUUCCAAUCUAUAUUUCAACUAGACAGCAAAUGUUUUCUCUAACUUACUUGACUGAAUAAAUCACACCACAACUCCUAAAGGAAAAUAUGUUUGCGCAUUUGCAUGUGUCAGCGUUAAAGGGAGCAGUCUUUCUUCCAAACCUCUCCAAACAAACAAAUAUAACCUUUGUUUAUUGGUGCCUUUGAAACAGAAAUGGAGUUUUUUCAAGAGUGUAUAAUCCAUGGACAGCUGUUCAGGGGUUGCUGUUCUGUGAUAACUUUGCACAAAGUUAUACCAGACAGUUCACAGAGUGGAUAUCAGUAAAUUGUUAGACCUUUGUUAGUGAGUUUCAAUAUGGCAGACAAUCUGUUUUUCCGGGGGCUUCUGAAUGAGUUAUGUAAGGACAUUCGGCAAAGAGCUAUUGAUGGGUUUUUCCCUGUGAUAUACGGUGGAUUAACGUUUAUUGUGCCGUGUGUACCCUUGAUAAGUUCAGAGCCAGGUGGCUAUAGAAAUAAGCUUCGCUGCUUCUAAAGCAAACACCAUUAGAUCGAUGGUCUCCAUCUGCCUGACAGAUGCUGUUUGCCAGAAAUUAUUAAUUCUGCAUUCAGAGCUUCACACAUCAAACACAGGAUGACAUGAAAAUGAUAUGAAAAGAGGAGUCAAGGAUUGCGCCACCAUUAGUCGAGCUAAUUCUCACAUCCAAUCUAUUGCUAUGUAUUUAUCUUGCCAUUCAGAAUUGUCUCAUGAUAUUCACCUGGUUGCCUUCUGGUACAUUUCCUUUUUUUUCUGUGUCAGAUAUCAAGAGUCAAACCACUGCCCAGGGGUAUCAUUUAACAUUGACUUUGUUCCCUAAAGUAGUGCAAAUUUAACCGUCUCUUCAACAUCAAUUUAGCAAAUACUAUACAGUUCACAUGCAGAGUUACAAAGGCUUUGCUCGUGCUCACUUUCAUUAGCUAUUUCUGAGAAGUAUCAGGUGUUUCAACUAGGCUCGUUCACUCUAGUACAUAAGAGAACUGAACCCGGGGCUGUACCGACCUAACAUGAUAUUUUACCACCUGCCAGUUUCCAUUCCAGUCCUCUCCAUUUUACUGUUUCUCUCGGCAAUUCAUGAUAGCACCUAGAAAACAAUCAUGGUUCACUGCGUUAUCAUACUUGUGUUUUUUUUUUCUUUUUCUUCUGCAGGUGCGACAUGACAUUCACUCGUCUGUUUCGGCAUCAAUAACUGCUGUACUCUCCCGUCUGUGUCUGACGUGUGAUGGAAGAGGCACAGCUUGUUUUCAUCACUCUCCAGAGUCACCCUGUACACUGAAGCUUCCAGUGUUGUAGUCCAGCAACCAAAGCUCAGGCCAGUUUCGAGUCUUGCGUCCUCAGUAUUCAGGUGUGAGUAGAGUCCAAGUCAGUCCAAGUCAAAUCUGAGAGAUUCUGAGUCGAGUACUCAUUGUUUGGAUUAUUUACCAUAUGAACAGUGAAGACAGCUGUUUCAUUCCAAACUACUGACUCUUCUUCCUGCUGUGAUGGGAUCUCUGAAGGUGUCUAAUAAGCUCAAAAACACCUGCAACCAAACUGAUAUUCUGUCGGCUUGUUUACAGUGACACAUCUCACAUGCUGAAUUGUUUUUGUUCGCUGUUAUUGUAAAAUCCUUGAAACUUCCAGACAUGAUUUACAUUAUAGGAACUGUAGCCGCACAUGACACCAUAAGAAUUACUUUAUUUCCUCCCUGAAGGGAAAUUCAACUGUCUUUAGUCUCACUUGUCAUGUCUCAAAAAGUCAUCUACUAUUUAUGGAGGAAUUGUAAAGUCUGAUAGCUGUGGGUACAAAAGAUCUUCUCAACCGUUCUGUCCUGCAGCAAAGAGAGAGGAGCCGUCCACCACCAUUGGCUCUUUGGUCCAUCAUGUGCCAGAUCUCACUCUAAACUGAAUAAAAAUGUAACACAAACAUAAAAACAGUCUUUACCAAUCAAUAAACCUGAGUCCUCCUUUCUAUCGUCUAAGUGCAGUCAAUGCUUAAGUUUGAGUACAAGUCCAAGUAAUCAGAACUUGGGUCCAAUUUGAGUCACAACUCCUAAAAUUAAGGGUUGGCUACUACAUGUAGUGACACAGCCUGAUGAGAAAUUAGACAGAAGCAUGGUGAGAGAAAGAUGCAGAUGAUCUUUCUUCAUCUGAGGUACUGAAGUAGUUUUUUUUAAAUUUAUGUAUGCAUGGAAAAUCAGCAGUGUGUUCUGUUGUCUUAAAUUCACUGUAGAAAUUCAGAACAUAAUCAGACUAAACAUCUUUAAUACAGGCUGCACAUUACAGGCCAUCCAGCACCCCAAGGGAGCGCAAGAGCGCAAACAAGAGGCUGAUAAAAAUGUAGUUUGACAAUGUUUUGAAGCAGCAGAGAGUCAUCUAAGUUUUUGUCAUCUUUGAUUAACAACCAAUGAUGUAUGGCUUUCUGACAGGACUCAGUCAUAAAUCACGUCACGUUGUGUCAUUUCCUUCUAGUAAAGGAGCUGACAACUUCUUGACCUCCUCCUUUCGUACUCUAUGACUUGUCAUGGAAGGUUUUCCAUAAGUGAUAACAAAAUCUACUCUGCGCAACAAAGUAGCCAACAGCAUGGACCAAAAACUCCAGGCCAGAGCAGAGGUAGAGAAAGGCUAACCUGCUGUCAUGGAGAUGGACGCAUCCUACGUAUUAUUCAAAGCCGCCAGGAGGGUCACACCGAAGUAGGAGGAAGAUAUGACUGUAGAAAAAAAUUACAACCAGAGUUCUGUUACAACUUAAAAUUUUGGCACUCAAUACGCUGAAUACUCAAUACUUAAUAUAUUUUUGGUUAUACAGAAAAACAAAUAAACAAAAUAUUGACUCGUUUUUUUCGUUUUUCGUUUACUAGAUGAAUGGAAUAAUUGAAUGGAUGGAUAAUACAUGGACUGCUAAAGUUGGACUGGUCCAAGAAUAUAGACUUCAUCUACGGAAAGGGACAGAGCCGCCUCUCUUGCCUGAGGAGACUCCGAUCAAUAGACAUCUAUAGUAAGAUGCUGCAGAGGUUUUUUCAGUCUGUGGUGUCUACAGUGUUAUGUUCUACGCUGCAGUCUGCUGGGGAGGAAGCAUCAAACACAAAGAUGCAAGACGUCUGAACAAACUGGUGAAAAAGGCUGGCUCUGUGGUUGGAUUCAAGCUGGACUCAGUGGAGGUUGUGGUGGAGAGAUCUACACUGAGGAAGGUGGAGACUAUGGACCAAAGGGGCAAAGGUGGUGGACGGCUCCUCUCUCUUUGCUGUAGGUCAGAAAGAUUCAGAAGAUCUUUUGUACAUCAGACUGUACAACUCUUCUGUAAAUAGUAGAUGACUUUUAGAGACAUGACAAAUGAGACGACAGACAAUUGAAUUUCCCUUCAUGGAUUAAUAAAGUUCCUCUUAUUCUUAUUCUUAAAAAGGUGGGUCUUGAGCCUGUUCUUAAAAAUUUGAAUGUUUUUUGGAGUAACUAUGGCUGACAUGUGCAUCUCCUGACACAGUGAGAGAAAUAUUUCCAUUUGAAAUAUGUCGGAGUAGAGACAUACGUACAGGGACGUACAAAGAAGCAAAACAAAGUACCAAAAAUUCAAACUUAAUUUCAGCAACCCAGUAAUGUUCUUUAUUAUUUUGCACCACAGUCACUUAUUCCCAGAGACAGAGGAAGAGACUGACAGACUGACUGACAGAUUAUGUGUGACAGGAGAAGAGAAGCCAUCACGUCACCUCAGACGUACCUGCGUUUCAGAACAGCAUGUUUGAAGGUGAGCUUGUCACAUGUAUUUAGCCUCACCUGAAUCCAAGAACACAAAUAACAUGACAACUCUGAUGUGUAUAAUCCACAUUAAACCACAAAUCCUUUAUACUUGUGCUGUGUAUUGCACUUUGUGUUUACUUACGCAGACUGAAAUGUUACAAAAAUAGGAGAGCAGAACCGGGGAAAUCUUCAGCCGUGGAAGCCUUCAUGAUCAAUUCGUCUGUUCCUGAGAAUCCCGUUUCAAAUGCAUCUCUGCGCGCAGGAGGACAAGAAUAGAAAUAGAGUUUUGCUUCAAUGCUCACAAGAUGUCUCUCUCAGCACCGCUGCAGGAGGGGAGAGAAGAGGAGAGGCAGAGACUAAAUCCAGAUUGCAGUGAUUAGACAUUGUUGGAGUUUGUAUAGAAUUGGAGUUCAUGGACCUCCUACUCAUCAGACGAGAGGAUAAAAAACUCUGAGGUCAUUGUAUCAAGGGUUUGUAUUGUCAGUGAGCCGUGACAAGGCAGAUUAUGAGUGUGGCAGGGGUGUACUUGUGUGGUCUAUUCAGAUGUGUUAUGUAAAGCUUUUUUUCUUCUGUUCAGAUAUGUAAGAAAAUAAAGAAAGAAAAAGCUUUUUGUUUGGAUCACAAAAGGAGGUAUACAACCAGUG